UACGUAGGUGGCGAGCGUUGUCCGGAUUUACUGGGCGUAAAGAGCGCGCAGGCGGUCGUUCAAGUCGCGUGUGAAAGCCCCCGGCUCAACUGGGGAGGGUCACGCGAUACUGAUCGACUCGAAGGCAGGAGAGGGAAGUGGAAUUCCCGGUGUAGUGGUGAAAUGCGUAGAUAUUGGGAGGAACACCGGUGGCGAAGGCGGCCAACUGGGCUGCAACUGACGCUGAGGCGCGAAAGCGUGGGGAUCAAACAGG
Molecule: ribosomal RNA, 253 nt
Filed under: uncultured bacterium
Lineage: Bacteria
Description: partial 16S ribosomal RNA
Rfam family: Bacterial small subunit ribosomal RNA
Source: RNAcentral